RNAcentral lists this long non-coding RNA (782 nucleotides) under Equus asinus (donkey). RNAcentral's name for it is "lncRNA (ENSEASG00005037369.1)". Lineage: Eukaryota; Metazoa; Chordata; Mammalia; Perissodactyla; Equidae. The record is from RNAcentral.
UGCAUGCACGACACUUCCCUUUACUCCAGGAACGGCCGACAAUGCUGUAAAGUCAAGAUGUUGUUACGGCUCUCCCCAUCUCUUUUUCCAGCCAAGUCCAUUCAGACAUAAUUGUUGGAUUUGAGAGGGAAAUGGGAACUAUGAGACCCAGGAAUGUUCGUGGGUAACAGUGACAAUUCCGGCAAGGAUCAGUGGCUUCCGGUAAAGGACGGCCACCAGGAAGGAGAGAGAAGACAAGCUCUGCUGGUUUAGCGGUGGCGAGUGUGUGCACGGUCAGAUUGUCAACGGGACGGGGAGCACGUCGGGUCUGCAGAGGGACCUGGAAAUCAGGCAUCAGCGAUUCCUGCCCACCUGACAAGCAGUGUGGAGUGCUGACUCUGUGCUGGGAGGCGUGAGAUGCAGGGAAUCUGUGGAGAACAAGGGUCCCCAUCAUCACAGAGCUUACGGUCUAAUGCGGAAAAACCCAAAUUCUUGUGAGAAGUCGUGCCCGAGAAGUCCCUCCUCCCUUGUGUCAUUACGAGCAAUCAGGGCUGUCCUUGGCAAUAGAGGGGAAUUCCCCAAAGAGAAGCGAGCAUCCGAAUCCUCCUGCACCUGCCCCGCCUCAGAGCAGCCUGUCUGACCAGCCAGGUGUUCCCAUGGAGCCGUAAAGAAGAGGGAACCUGUCAUUUACCAGCUUCAACCUUCAAAUUCCUCAGACCGGACUUUGAGUUCCUGUGACUCCUCCCCUGACCUCAUAUUACUCCCCUGUAUGGACCCUCCCUUCCAGCCAAAUGAGUCUCAGA